Molecule: long non-coding RNA, 405 nt
Filed under: Equus asinus (donkey)
Lineage: Eukaryota; Metazoa; Chordata; Mammalia; Perissodactyla; Equidae
Description: lncRNA (ENSEASG00005027405.1)
Source: RNAcentral
CUGGAAUGAUCUUCAAGACAUGUAACAGCCUAACAACCGCUAUUUUAUGGGCAUCAGCCAAUCAAAAAAGAUGCCAGCUAUAAACAAAUGGAUGGCCCUCCUGGUAAAUGCAGUCCAGAAGGAAGUAAACCAGCAUUACAUGCCCCUCCCCUGAGUUGGGUAAUAGCCACCUCAAUGUACAUCUUCUUUUAUGAGGAAAAGAUCACUGACGAUCUUCUCAUGCUAAGGUGGUUGAGACAAGGUGAUUCAUCGUCUGUUAGUUAGCUAGAUGCCAAGUUUUCACCAAAAGACCUUCAGUUGGUGGAUGACCUAGAUGGAGUACUAAUCCUCCUCAAUAGAGAAGGAUCAGCAGUGGGAGAAUUCUUAUGUAAAAGAAAUGAUGAAAGGUCAUCCUUCUGUGAGUUG